AUGCUUUACAUAAUCACUACAAUUGCUGCUAUCAGAAUGGCCCCGAAUAAGUUGGAAAAGAAGCUAAGGAAGGAAGCAAAGAGAAAGAAAACAAUACAAUGGAAAAGAACAGUGUUAAAGAAAAGACAGAAACAGACAACCCUAGACCACUUUUUAGUUCUGAAAAGGUGGGGACCUAAGGAGCCAGAAGCAGGUCCCAGUGGGCCACAGACUCUCCCAAGGAGAGAAAGAGCAGCAGAGAGUCGGAUUCCCAAAGUUCUUAUGAAAGGGGAUCUGCUUCCGAACAAUAACCACCUUCCGUGUCAUCCUCCCUUCCUGCAAGCCAGAGCUGUCAACCUGAAUGGAAAAACAAGCAUCAUUAAGUAUAAACGCAACCCUCUCCAUAAGGCAGCUUUCCACUUCGUGGCCGAGUUCCAGAGGAGACCAGGCUGGCCAGUAUGGGGACCAAAUUCCAGGUCUGGGCUCUGUGGAGAAUCUCUCCUUGUCUGCCACCUUCUUCUUGGUCUCACGUGAAGCUAUAUAGUCACGGAUGCUGGCACAUUCUCCACACGCCAGAGAAGACUGACCUGGCAGGGUGGCUGCAGGACACAAACCCUGUGCCAUCGUCUCCUUCCUGACACCGCUCCUUCCUUGGCCUCCAGGCCACGCGGGUAUGAAUUCUGGCCCUGCACUCAGGCUUGUGUGACCGUGGGCAGGUAAGACUGUUUAUCUUCUACAAAAUCCAAAUAUAACGGCAGGGUUGUCGUGAGGGUCAAAGUAUCACCGCAAAGCACUGCGUGGAUGCAUGGUAAGCACCAGCAUCCUGCCCUGCCUUGGGAUCCAGUUCAGGCUCCACCCUGCACCUGCCUCUUGAUGUGGGGCAGCUGCACCCUGCUUCCCACCGACUCCCACACGCUCGGCUGCCUUCCAGUCCUCUGCUGGCCUCCUGCAUGUGCUGACCCCACGAUUCUGCACUGUCCAUCUGCGCCUGUCCCCGUGGCUACGGCCGCACAGUCACACCAGAUCAGGUGUGUCUACGCUUACGAACACAUUACCUUUUUUCCCGUUCUUUACCCCAGAUGCCGGGAUGUGAGUGCUGCAGGGGACCUUCACCAUCAGCACCUCGGCCUAAAGACCCCCCACUGUGAUACUUUUGCACCCAAAUAAGGAUUUGUGUAAGUCCUCCAAUUUUUCUUUUAUUUUUCCCUUAUUUUAUUGAUAUAUUUUAGACAAACGUAACAAUCACAGUCAUCAUAGGGAGUUUGCAUCUGGAUGUGACAUACCUUCUUUUUUUCCCAUCCCCCCUUUCCUUUCACCCCUUUGCCCCAUUUAUUUACAAAAGCUUCGUUUCCAUUUUUUUCUAUUCCUUUUUUUCUCUCCCUUCCUUUCCCCCUCACUCCUCCUUUGUCCCCUUUCUCAUGUGAACAUUUUCUUCCCAUUUCCCUACACCUAUUACACAUUUUGAGGACCUGGGCUUUUUCAUUUUAUUUUAUUUUUUCCUAGGGUUUUUUUUUUUUUAGUUGGUAGUUUUUAAAAUUACUUUUUCAAUUUCAUUGACUGAUACUGGAUCAUUCAGAACUUUUAUAUCUUCUUGGUUCAGCUCUGAUAGUUCAUAUGUAUCUAGGAAUCUAUCCAUUUCUUCUGAAUCUUCAAUUUUAUUAGAGUACAGGUUAUCAAAGUAGUUACCAGUGAUCUUUCGGAUUUUGGCAGAGUAUGUUGUGAUUUUACCUUUUUCAUUUCUAAUUGCAUGCAUCUGGGUCUUUCUUUCCUUAUUCUGCUAAAACCUCAGCUCCUCCAGUUUUUCAGUCCCCCUGAAAGUGCAGAAGCCACAAGGUAGCAUGUCAGCCCAGGCCUGGCUUGACUUGGAGUAGAAAGGAAACUGUGUUACUCAUUAUGCUCAUGGCUCAGGGUUGUAACUUAAGUGUAUAUUAGGACUUCAUCAACUGUGUCAUAGCAUUGACUCUUUCAAAUUUGUGGCCAGCUAAAAGCCUAG
This is a long non-coding RNA of Cavia porcellus (domestic guinea pig), 1972 nucleotides long. Lineage: Eukaryota; Metazoa; Chordata; Mammalia; Rodentia; Caviidae. The record is from Ensembl.